AGCCCACUAGCAAUAAUAACUCGUUGGGCCUAGCCAACAACCCAAAAUGCUUAAGCCCAGUUAUUAUUACUAGUGUCUAAGUCUCUUAUAAACCCAAUGACAACCCCAUUCCCAUCCGAUGUGGGACUAUUGGGGUGUCACACAAUAUUAGUGAUAUAUUGUGAAGUAGUAGAUCCUCUUAAAUUAUGGGAUGAAUUCUGGGCAUUAAUGGCCG
This 214-nucleotide long non-coding RNA is filed under the name Ananas comosus (pineapple). Its description in RNAcentral is "long non-coding RNA (ACOM_LNC017762)". Lineage: Eukaryota; Viridiplantae; Streptophyta; Magnoliopsida; Poales; Bromeliaceae. The record is from RNAcentral.